RNAcentral lists this ribosomal RNA (492 nucleotides) under uncultured bacterium. RNAcentral's name for it is "partial 16S ribosomal RNA". It matches the Rfam family "Bacterial small subunit ribosomal RNA", at positions 29 to 507 of the family's 1533-position model. The record is from RNAcentral.
AGUGAACGCUGGCGGUAGGCCUAACACAUGCCAGUCGAACGGCAGCACAGUAAGAGCUUGCUCUUACGGGUGGCGAGUGGCGGACGGGUGAGGAAUACAUCGGAAUCUACUUUUUCGUGGGGGAUAACGUAGGGAAACUUACGCUAAUACCGCAUACGACCUACGGGUGAAAGCAGGGGAUCUUCGGACCUUGCGCGAUUGAAUGAGCCGAUGUCGGAUUAGCUAGUUGGCGGGGUAAAGGCCCACCAAGGCGACGAUCCGUAGCUGGUCUGAGAGGAUGAUCAGCCACACUGGAACUGAGACACGGUCCAGACUCCUACGGGAGGCAGCAGUGGGGAAUAUUGGACAAUGGGCGCAAGCCUGAUCCAGCCAUACCGCGUGGGUGAAGAAGGCCUUCGGGUUGUAAAGCCCUUUUGUUGGGAAAGAAAAACAGCAGGUUAAUACCCCGCUGUUCUGACGGUACCCAAAGAAUAAGCACCGGCUAACUUCGUG